GAGUUUGAUUCUGGCUCAGAACGAACGCUGGCGGCGCGUCUUAAGCAUGCAAGUCGAACGGCAAGAUACCUUCGGGUAUCCUAGAGUGGCGGACUGGUGAGUAACGCGUGGAUGACGUACCCUCGUGACUGGGAUAGCCGGUAGAAAUACCGGAUAAUACCGGAUAAGGUCUCACGGAAUAAAGGCGUGAGAGGAAAGCAGCGUAUGCUGCGCAGGAGGAACGGUCUGCGACCUAUCAGCUAGUUGGCAGGGUAAAGGCCUACCAAGGCGACGACGGGUAUCCGGCCUGAGAGGGUGGACGGACACAUUGGGACUGAGAUACGGCCCAGACUCCUACGGGAGGCAGCAGCUAAGAAUAUUCCGCAAUGGGGGGAACCCUGACGGAGCGACGCCGCGUGGACGAUGAAGGUCGGAAGAUUGUAAAGUCCUUUUAUACAUGAAGAAGAAGUUAUACAGGAAAUGGUAUGAUGGUGACUGUAGUGUAUGAAUAAGCACCG
RNAcentral lists this ribosomal RNA (497 nucleotides) under Treponema sp. canine oral taxon 087. RNAcentral's name for it is "bacterial SSU rRNA". It matches the Rfam family "Bacterial small subunit ribosomal RNA", at positions 9 to 495 of the family's 1533-position model. The record is from RNAcentral. Lineage: Bacteria; Pseudomonadati; Spirochaetota; Spirochaetia; Treponematales; Treponemataceae.